AUUGAACGCUAGCGGGAUGCUUUACACAUGCAAGUCGAACGGCGGCGCGGACUUCGGUCUGCCGGCGAGUGGCCAACGGGUGAGUAAUGUAUCGGAACGUGCCCAGUCGCGGGGGAUAUCUCCCCGGAAGCGUAGCUAAUACCGCAUACGCUCUACCGGGGCAACCACGGGAUCGUAAGUCCUUGCACUAUUGGAGCGGCCGAUCUCGGAUUGGCUGGUUGGUGAGGUAACGGCUCACCACGGCGACGAUCCGUAGCUGGUUUGAGAGGACGACCAGCCACACUGGGACUGAGACACGGCCAAGACUCCUACAGGAGGCAGCGGUGGGGAAUUUUGGACAAUGGGGGCAACCCUGAUCCAGCCAUCCCGCGUGGGCGAUGAAGGCCUUCGGGUUGUAAAGCACUAUUGGCAGGAAAGAAACGUCGCGGGCUAAUACCCCGUGGAAAUGACGGUACCUGCAGAAUAAGCACCGGCUAACUACGUG
RNAcentral lists this ribosomal RNA (484 nucleotides) under uncultured bacterium. RNAcentral describes it as "partial 16S ribosomal RNA". It matches the Rfam family "Bacterial small subunit ribosomal RNA", at positions 30 to 507 of the family's 1533-position model. The record is from RNAcentral.